UACUUAAAUAGUUUAAUAAAAAUGUAAGUUUGUGGCGCUUAAGAUGUGCAGAAGCACUUUAAGU
Molecule: transfer RNA, 64 nt
Filed under: Helice latimera
Lineage: Eukaryota; Metazoa; Arthropoda; Malacostraca; Decapoda; Varunidae
Description: tRNA-His
Source: RNAcentral